UGAGCAAUCUGCCCUUCACUCGGGGAUAAGCCUCGGAAACGAGGUCUAAUACCCGAUACGACCAGCCUUCGCAUGAGGUGCUGGUGGAAAGUUUUGUCGGUGGAGGAUGUGCUCGCGGCCUAUCAGCUUGUUGGUGGGGUAAUGGCCUACCAAGGCUUCGACGGGUAGCCGGCCUGAGAGGGCGACCGGCCACACUGGGACUGAGACACGGCCCAGACUCCUACGGGA
RNAcentral lists this ribosomal RNA (228 nucleotides) under uncultured bacterium. Its description in RNAcentral is "partial 16S ribosomal RNA". It matches the Rfam family "Bacterial small subunit ribosomal RNA", at positions 118 to 346 of the family's 1533-position model. The record is from RNAcentral.